This 3563-nucleotide long non-coding RNA is filed under the name Sus scrofa (pig). RNAcentral's name for it is "lncRNA (ENSSSCG00060000031.1)". The record is from RNAcentral. Lineage: Eukaryota; Metazoa; Chordata; Mammalia; Artiodactyla; Suidae.
AAGUGACUUAAUCAACUUGAUGCAGCUGGUGAGAGGGAGCCGGGGCCGCGAGCCUUGACUUCCAGCCCAAGCUCUUUCUCUCUUUUCUCUAAGGCGGGAACCUAGGGCACUGGCUCUACACAUGUGGCGGUCUUGCCUAAGUCACUUUUGGAAGCAUCUGUUCCGGACUGGUCUUUCUGGCCCCCAGACCUUGACUUUCUGGAUCUUUGGGACCGUGCCCGGCAGGAUGGACUUUAUGUGUCUGGGGCAGUGGGAGGGCAGAAACCCAGAGUCAGCAGUAAUUGCUUUUUUAAGUAACCUGGAUGAAAAUCCUGAAAGGACCAGCUUUUGAUCCUGCAGAACAGGCCUGGGUUCUGCAAACAGCCUGACCCCUAGGGGCUCCUAGGUCUCCACUAGGACUUCUGCCCAGCAGUUCCAGACCAUCAUCUACAGCUGACCAGCUCUCUUGUUUCUGAAAGCCCAGGGCUGCCUCUGGGGGAGCAGGCUUUAGGCAUUUCUUUUUUCUUUCUUUUUUUUUAGGUCCGCACCUGCAGCAUAUGGAAGGCCUACCACAGCCACAGCAACUCCAGAUCUGAGCCUUGUCUGUGACCUACGUUGCAACUCGAAGCAAUGCUGGAUCCUUAACCCACUGAGCAGGGCCAAGGAUCGAACCCAACCUCAGAGCCUGGCUGUCAGUUUGACCUGUUGGAUGGAGGAAUGCCUGACCGAAUGCGGAAUGAACUUGUGCUCACGAAGGUUAAAUGAGAUACCAUGAAAUCUCUGGGAACAGAAUCUAUUCCUCGGGGAAGGAACGUGAGGGUGGGCAGCAGCUCGGGCUGGGGCAGACCCUGGGGUGGGCAGAGGUCUGGGAUGGAGCACUGGGGCCCAGGGGGAGAGCCCCAGGUGAUGCUGUGGCAAAGCCUUCCGUGGCCUCCAGAAGCAGGUGGUACCACCUCCAUGGGCAGCUCAUUCCUGAGCUCUGGGUGCAGCCUCUGCCCCUGGCUCUGUGUGGGCCUCCCAGUUGUCCUCCAAGGUGCAUGGUGUAUGUCACACCCUCCUCCUGGCACCUCAGAGCCUCUGAGGCCAGCUGCCCGCCUGGUCUGAGCAGCGUGUCAUAGUCUGCAGAGAAAAGGCCAUCUAUUUUCUCGCAGCGUGAACUCUCACAUUUACAGCGAUGCCAAGCCGAAUAUAAGACUCAUACAACGCCACUCCGAGCCCUGCCCCCCAUGAAGGGGGGCGGGGGGGGGGGGAAAGCCCUGCCCCGUCCAGGAAACAAAGUCCCCUCUGUUGGCAGCAUGAGUUUCCGUUCAAGUCCCCAGGCCCCCUGGGUGGCCAUGGAAUAAUCUGGGCCAACGAGUGGGGUUUAUUGGACCCUCUGGGCAGCCCCCCAAGGCUGUCUUUGUUUCCCACCAUGGGAGAGGGGCCAACCCCACCUGGCUGGGGCGCCCAUCGAGAUGCUAUGGGAUCCCAGGGGCCUGACCGCAUCCCCUGUGCCUGAGGGUCAGUGCUUCUGGGAGUUCUGGUCAAGGGCACAUCACGUCUUGAAGCUUAGUGUGUGCCCAGGGUCCACAUCCUUCUGAACAGUUUUUUUUUUUUGGUCUUUUCUAGGGCGGCACUCACCAGCACAUGGAGGUUCCCAGGCUAGGGGUCAAAUCAGAGCUGUAGCCACCAACCUACACUACAGCCACAGCAACACGGGAUCCUUAACCUGCUGAGGCCAGGGACUGAACCCACAACCUCAUGGUUCCUAGUUGGAUUUGUUAACUACUGAGCCACAAUGGGAACUCAGCUUCUGAACAGUUUUUCUUUUCCCGUCCCUGCUCAGGAAACAGAAAAGGUUGAAAUUGCCAUCUUCUGGCUUAAGGAGUCCUGCUGUGACUCCAUCUCUGACCAGAGUCCUUUUUCCCCCCGCUUCCUGGGUGGGGUUUGAACUCACAGCAUGGGGGCAGUUUGGAUGAGCUGCUGGAGAAGACCAUUCUGCCACCUCCACCCCUAGGUAGCUGGGGAGUCAGGCCCUGGGACUGAGAGAGACUCGGUCUCAGGCACAGAUCUGGAGGCAGGUUAGCCUCUGAGCUGCUGGGCCUCUCUGUCCGGGCCUCCCUGCCUCCCCACGGGGGCCACAGAUACUCACUGUGCCUACUUUUUCUUCAUCAAUCCAGCCUAUUCUCAGUCAAUUACUUCAUGGCCCANUUUUUUUUGCUCUUUAGGUCUGCACCAGAAGCAUAUAGAAGUAGUUUUCAGGCUUGGGGUUGAAUUGGAGCUGCAGCUGCUGGCCUAUAUCACAGCCACAGCAAGGCCCGAGCCGAGCCACGUCUGUGACCUACACCACAACUCACAGCAACAUGGGAUCCUUAACCCACUGAGCGAGGCUAGGGAUUGAACCCUCAUCCUCAGGGAUACUGGUCGGGUUUGUAACGGCUGAGCCACAACAGGAAGUCCCGGUGACAGCUCAUUUCCGAAGAAACCCUUGCACUGGAGUUGGGGACGUGUGUGAGAUCCAAUACCUUGAUGCUAGAAGGCUCUGAGGCCCCCAGUGCAUUGACAAGGCUGACCCCUCGGAGUCCCUGAACCUCUGGCCUUGCUUCCUGCUCAUUCUGGCUUCCUUUGGAAACUUCCCUCAGCAGGGUCCUCAGAUCAGAUUUUCCUGCCUUUAAAUUUUCAAAUUAAGAGGCUUCUCACAGGGCCUCCGUGUCACCCGGGCUUUGUUUUGAUAGGAGCCCAGGUUCUAGAAUAGCUGCUUGCAAGUGGGCGCGGACCCUACAGUGGCUGAGCAGGGCUGCCUGGGCACAAGGGCCAAGGGCUGGCAAGAUGAGUCCAAGGGAACCAUGGGCAGGGCAUUUCUAUGGCAACUCAGACCAGCCCUCCUGUGGCCAGACCAUCAUUAAAUUAACCUGGGAGAGUUCCCGUUGUGGAUCAGCGGAAACAGGUUUGAUCCCAGGCCUCACUCAGUGGGUUAAGGAUCUGGCAUUGCCGUGAGCUGUGGUGUAGGUCACAGAUGCGGCUUGGAUCCUAUGUGGCUGUGGCUGUGGCUCUGGUGUAGGCCGGCAUCACAGCUCCGAUUCGACCACUAGCCUGGGAACCUCCAUACGCUGCAGGUGCGGCCCUAAAAAGACAACAAAAUAAAAAUAAAAAAUUACCCUGGGGACCUUCUCCUGGCAGCGAUGUCUGUAGGUUCAGACAAGAUGUUUUAACUUUCAGACGGUUGAUUGGCAUGAAAUCAUUAUCAAGUGGGACCAUUAGCAGAAGCGAGGCACAGGCAAAACUAGUAACUCCAGGAAACACUCGAUUUUCCGUCGGCUGUCCAUCCUUCCUCGGCUCUUCUGGUUUUUGCUGCAACGUGGACAUCCUGAAGCAUGUUCUGCCUCUUUUAGGACUGCAAAAAAAAAAAAAAAAAAAAAAAGGAGAAAAAAAAUGAAAUAAGAAGGUGAUGGGCAUCUCCAGUCAAGGCCUAUAAAACCCCUCCGUUCUCCGGAGUCCACGGGAAAAGUGUCACAACCUGUAGGCUUGUUCCUGUCCCCAUCCCAGAGACAGUCGCUUGUUGGUUUUAACUGGAAAAAUAAACAUUUGAAAAACAGGCAAAAAAA